GGCAACGUUGCGCAGCGGUGCGCCCCGGUCCCAUGUAGUAAUAUUUUGAAUCUGAAAUAGUUACAAUACUCAAUCCGGAGUCCGCUUGUUCGAUUCAAGCCGUUGCUU
Non-coding RNA from Favolaschia claudopus, 108 nucleotides. NCBI's taxonomy places the organism in Eukaryota, Fungi, Basidiomycota, Agaricomycetes, Agaricales, Mycenaceae. The record is from the annotation of a GenBank genome assembly.